GACGAACGCUGGCGGCGUGCUUAACACAUGCAAGUCGAACGGAAAGGCCCUGCUUUUGUGGGGUGCUCGAGUGGCGAACGGGUGAGUUACCCGUGAGUAACCUGCCCUUGACUUUGGGAUAACUUCAGGAAACUGGGGCUACUACCUACUAGGAGCUCCUGCUGCUUGGUGGGGGUCGGAAAGUUUCGGCGGUUGGGAAUGUACUGGGGGCUUAUCAGCUUGUUGGUGGGGUAGUGGCUUACCAAGGCUUUGACGGGUAGCCGGCCUGAGAGGGUGACCGGACACAUUAGGACUGAGAUACGGCCCAGACUCGUACGGGAGGCAGCAGUGGGGAAUAUUGCACAAUGGGCGGAAGCCUGAUGCAGCAACGCCGCGUGCGGGAUGACGGCCUUCGGGUUGUAAAGCGCUUUCGCCUGUGACGAAGCGUGAGUGACGGUACUAGGUAAAGAAGCACCGGCUAACUACGUG
RNAcentral lists this ribosomal RNA (468 nucleotides) under uncultured bacterium. RNAcentral's name for it is "partial 16S ribosomal RNA". It matches the Rfam family "Bacterial small subunit ribosomal RNA", at positions 28 to 507 of the family's 1533-position model. The record is from RNAcentral.